Molecule: ribosomal RNA, 492 nt
Filed under: uncultured bacterium
Lineage: Bacteria
Description: partial 16S ribosomal RNA
Rfam family: Bacterial small subunit ribosomal RNA
Source: RNAcentral
AGUGAACGCUGGCGGUAGGCCUAACACAUGCAAGUCGAACGGCAGCACAGUAAGAGCUUGCUCUUACGGGUGGCGAGUGGCGGACGGGUGAGGAAUACAUCGGAAUCUACUUUUUCGUGGGGGAUAACGUAGGGAAACUUACGCUACUACCGCAUACGACCUACGGGUGAAAGCAGGGGUUCUUCGGACCUUGCGCGAUUGAUUGAGCCGAUGUCGGAUUAGCUAGUUGGCGGGGUAAAGGCCCACCAAGGCGACGAUCCGUAGCUGGUCUGAGAGGAUGAUCAGCCACACUGGAACUGAGACACGGUCCAGACUCCUACGGGAGGCAGCAGUGGGGAAUAUUGGACAAUGGGCGCAAGCCUGAUCCAGCCAUACCGCGUGGGUGAAGAAGGCCUUCGGGUUGUAAAGUCCUUUUGUUGGGAAAGAAAAGCAGCAGGUUAAUACCCCGCUGUUCUGACGGUACCCAAAGAAUAAGCACCGGCUAACUUCGUG